Molecule: ribosomal RNA, 484 nt
Filed under: uncultured bacterium
Lineage: Bacteria
Description: partial 16S ribosomal RNA
Rfam family: Bacterial small subunit ribosomal RNA
Source: RNAcentral
AUUGAACGCUGGCGGCAGGCCUAACACAUGCAAGUCGAGCGGAUGAAGGGAGCUUGCUCCUGGAUUCAGCGGCGGACGGGUGAGUAAUGCCUAGGAAUCUGCCUGGUAGUGGGGGAUAACGUCCGGAAACGGGCGCUAAUACCGCAUACGUCCUGAGGGAGAAAGUGGGGGAUCUUCGGACCUCACGCUAUCAGAUGAGCCUAGGUCGGAUUAGCUAGUUGGUGGGGUAAAGGCCUACCAAGGCGACGAUCCGUAACUGGUCUGAGAGGGUGAUCAGUCACACUGGAGCUGAGACACGGUCCAGACUCCUACGGGAGGCAGCAGUGGGGAAUAUUGGACAAUGGGCGAAAGCCUGAUCCAGCCAUGCCGCGUGUGUGAAGAAGGUCUUCGGAUUGUAAAGCACUUUAAGUUGGGAGGAAGGGCAGUAAGUUAAUACCUUGCUGUUUUGACGUUACCAACAGAAUAAGCACCGGCUAACUUCGUG